GAGGAGGAAAUGUAGAAUACGCAGGGUCGGCCCGAUGCCUGUCAAAUACACCGACCAACCUGGCCCAUUCCCAACCCUCGUAAAAUAUCCCAGUGCGCUCUCUUCCCCGAGAUCUUUCCCCCAGAUCCACCAUUGUUGCUGAGUUCCUCCCUCGUCUGUGCCGUGUAGCCAUGAGUUCGUGGCUAGUUCCUCAUCCGUCCUGUCGCCGGUAACCAACAAUUCGUCUCUCGUCUGGACUCCCUCGUUCCUCCUUAUUCCUCUUUACUGCCGCCAUCGAUCUCCCACCAAUCUUCAAUCAACCUAAAUCGUAGGUUUCCAAGAUUACCCGGCUGCCCUAAUUGUAUUCUUCGUGGAUUCACUGCAAGGAAUCUGAUUCUCCAGAUAUUUAAUUAUGAGAGAUACGGACUAGUCCAGUGGAUAAUGAAUGUGCAAGCGCAGAAGAAAAUGAAGCUUCUGAUAUCAACGAGGUCUAUUCGCUACCUAAUUUGAGCGACGCCGAAAAUGAAGUCCAAUCAACAGUACGAACAAAACGAUGAAAAUAUUUUCUCCUCUUUCGAGCAGAUGGACACUAGGGAAGUGUCGACCAAAAUACCAGAGUAAAAACAAUAUGAUAAUUUUGCUUGAUGUUUCAUUCGGCUGAACUAUCUUUCUAAUUAAGUUAUCAAACAUUGCAUUUGCAGAGGCGAGACGUCUCGACCCAUGGAACAAUCUAUGAGAGAGUACUGCUAGGAUAUGACCACUCAAAUGUUCAAACCUAAGAUUGGAAUGACAUUCGAUUCUUUGACAGAAGCAUACAAAUUCUACAAGUCGUGUUCAUUGGUUAAGGGAUUCAGUAUUAGGUAUGGCGACAGCUAUACCUUGACCAAAAAAAUUAGGACCAUGCAGGAAUUAGUCUGCCAAUGUUCGGGGAAACCAAGAACACUAAGCAGUCAACUAUGCGUUGUGACUGCAAAGCUCGUUUUAAAGUGUGCUUUAAUGAGAAAUCAAAAUGGUAUGUGAAAUCCAUGAUUUAGUGGAGAAUUGUGGUGAAAAAAAAAACAUCUUUUUUCACAUCAACAGAUUGACAAGCAUACAAAGGAUAUGAUUAGGUAUCUGAGGAGAACAAUAUAGCAUUGAGUCGUGUUGACUCCAUUAUGGGAAGCUGGUUUGGGUCAGUGGAGAAAGUUCCUUUCUCAAAGAAGUCCCUUGGUACAAGUUUUCAUUCAUGGAGUGUACAGUAUUCCUGAUUGCCAGGCAAGCACGAAUGUCAAAGUUUAAUCCCAAUCUUAGGAAUCUUGGCAAGGACAGGAGAAUGAAAAGUAGGUCUUUUCGCCACAAGGUUGUUUAAUGUCAGCAAUGGGGUUAGUAAAUCAGGAUGAGGUGGAUGAGGAAUGUUGUGAAAUCGCGAACCGAAAUAUUGAACGUGGAAAGAAGGAAAUUGAAGAAUAUAGGCGGUCAAAGUUGACAACUUGCCAGGUUGGAGUAGUCCAGUCAAGGUUCCGCAGCAAAUGUAAAUCUCCGGACCACAACAUAGCAUGCUGCCCCAAGAUGCUGAUGGAAGAUGGUCCUAACUAGAGCGGUAGAGCCUGGUUCUGUUAAUAACUAAAAAGAUCAGAUGUCCCAUUAGCCUAAGCUUUGUUUGUAAGUGGUAAUGUAUAUUAUUUAGUAUAUAUCUGUUCAGACUUUUUGGCUUUUCUAUUUGUGUUUCUCUUCACUACUCUUCUGGUAAAAAUUUCUAUCUAUUUUAUGUGACAUGGUAACAAUUUCUAUCUA
Molecule: long non-coding RNA, 1752 nt
Organism: Lolium perenne
Lineage: Eukaryota; Viridiplantae; Streptophyta; Magnoliopsida; Poales; Poaceae
Source: RefSeq, a predicted model, not a curated record